UCCUACGGGAGGCAGCAGUAAGGAAUAUUGGUCAAUGGACGCAAGUCUGAACCAGCCAUGCCGCGUGAAGGAUUAAGGUCCUCUGGAUUGUAAACUUCUUUUAUCUGGGACGAAAAAAGGCGAUUCUUCGUCACUUGACGGUACCAGAUGAAUAAGCACCGGCUAACUCCGUGCCAGCAGCCGCGGUAAUACGUAGGGGGCAAGCGUUGUCCGGAUUUACCGGGUGUAAAGGGCGCGUAGGCGGGCAGGUAAGUCAGUGGUGAAAUCCUGGAGCUUAACUCCAGAACUGCCAUUGAUACUAUCUGUCUUGAAUAUUGUGGAGGUAAGCGGAAUUCCAGGUGUAGUAGUGAAAUACGUAGAUAUCUGGAAGAACACCAGUGGCGAAGGCGGCUUCUUGGUCCGUAACUGACGC
RNAcentral lists this ribosomal RNA (412 nucleotides) under uncultured bacterium. Its description in RNAcentral is "bacterial SSU rRNA". It matches the Rfam family "Bacterial small subunit ribosomal RNA", at positions 337 to 746 of the family's 1533-position model. The record is from RNAcentral.